GACGAACGCUGGCGGCGUGCUUAACACAUGCAAGUCGAACGGAAAGGCCCUGCUUUUGUGGGGUGCUCGAGUGGCGAACGGGUGAGUAACACGUGAGUAACCUGCCCUUGACUUUGGGAUAACUUCAGGAAACUGGGGCUAAUACCGGAUAGGAGCUCCUGCUGCAUGGUGGGGGUUGGAAAGUUUCGGCGGGUGGGGAUGGACUCGCGGCUUAUCCGCUUGUUGGUGGGGUAGUGGCUUACCAAGGCUUUGACGGGUAGCCGGCCUGAGAGGGUGACCGGCGACAUUGGGACUGAGAUACGGCCCAGACUCCUACGGGAGGCAGCAGUGGGGAACAUUGCACAAUGGGCGGAAGCCUGAUGCAGCAACGCCGCGUGCGGGAUGACGGCCUUCGGGUUGUAAAACGCUUUCGCCUGUGACGAAGCGUGAGUGACGGUAAUGGGUAAAGAAGCACCGGCUAACUACGUG
RNAcentral lists this ribosomal RNA (468 nucleotides) under uncultured bacterium. Its description in RNAcentral is "partial 16S ribosomal RNA". It matches the Rfam family "Bacterial small subunit ribosomal RNA", at positions 28 to 507 of the family's 1533-position model. The record is from RNAcentral.